GUAAGGAUAGCAUAAAUUAGUGUGUUUUGUUUACACCAAAAAGGUAAUUGGUUGAUUUUCUUACU
RNAcentral lists this transfer RNA (65 nucleotides) under Euglesa coreana. Its description in RNAcentral is "tRNA-Val". Lineage: Eukaryota; Metazoa; Mollusca; Bivalvia; Venerida; Sphaeriidae. The record is from RNAcentral.